GACGCUUAUGCGUUGUUGGGUAGGGGAGCGUUCUGUAAGCCUGUGAAGGUGUGCUGUGAGGCAUGCUGGAGGUAUCAGAAGUGCGAAUGCUGACAUAAGUAACGAUAAAGCGGGUGAAAAGCCCGCUCGCCGGAAGACCAAGGGUUCCUGUCCAACGUUAAUCGGGGCAGGGUGAGUCGACCCCUAAGGCGAGGCCGAAAGGCGUAGUCGAUGGGAAACAGGUUAAUAUUCCUGUACUUGGUGUUACUGCGAAGGGGGGACGGAGAAGGCUAUGUUGGCCGGGCGACGGUUGUCCCGGUUUAAGCGUGUAGGCUGGUUUUCCAGGCAAAUCCGGAAAAUCAAGGCUGAGGCGUGAUGACGAGGCACUACGGUGCUGAAGCAACAAAUGCCCUGCUUCCAGGAAAAGCCUCUAAGCAUCAGGUAACAUCAAAUCGUACCCCAAACCGACACAGGUGGUCAGGUAGAGAAUACCAAGGCGCUUGAGAGAACUCGGGUGAAGGAACUAGGCAAAAUGGUGCCGUAACUUCGGGAGAAGGCACGCUGAUAUGUAGGUGAAGUCCCUCGCGGAUGGAGCUGAAAUCAGUCGAAGAUACCAGCUGGCUGCAACUGUUUAUUAAAAACACAGCACUGUGCAAACACGAAAGUGGACGUAUACGGUGUGACGCCUGCCCGGUGCCGGAAGGUUAAUUGAUGGGGUCAGCGCAAGCGAAGCUCUUGAUCGAAGCCCCGGUAAACGGCGGCCGUAACUAUAACGGUCCUAAGGUAGCGAAAUUCCUUGUCGGGUAAGUUCCGACCUGCACGAAUGGCGUAAUGAUGGCCAGGCUGUCUCCACCCGAGACUCAGUGAAAUUGAACUCGCUGUGAAGAUGCAGUGUACCCGCGGCAAGACGGAAAGACCCCGUGAACCUUUACUAUAGCUUGACACUGAACAUUGAGCCUUGAUGUGUAGGAUAGGUGGGAGGCUUAGAAGUGUGGACGCCAGUCUGCAUGGAGCCGACCUUGAAAUACCACCCUUUAAUGUUUGAUGUUCUAACGUUGACCCGUAAUCCGGGUUGCGGACAGUGUCUGGUGGGUAGUUUGACUGGGGCGGUCUCCUCCUAAAGAGUAACGGAGGAGCACGAAGGUUGGCUAAUCCUGGUCGGACAUCAGGAGGUUAGUGCAAUGGCAUAAGCCAGCUUGACUGCGAGCGUGACGGCGCGAGCAGGUGCGAAAGCAGGUCAUAGUGAUCCGGUGGUUCUGAAUGGAAGGGCCAUCGCUCAACGGAUAAAAGGUACUCCGGGGAUAACAGGCUGAUACCGCCCAAGAGUUCAUAUCGACGGCGGUGUUUGGCACCUCGAUGUCGGCUCAUCACAUCCUGGGGCUGAAGUAGGUCCCAAGGGUAUGGCUGUUCGCCAUUUAAAGUGGUACGCGAGCUGGGUUUAGAACGUCGUGAGACAGUUCGGUCCCUAUCUGCCGUGG
RNAcentral lists this ribosomal RNA (1457 nucleotides) under Escherichia coli. RNAcentral describes it as "partial 23S ribosomal RNA". It matches the Rfam family "Bacterial large subunit ribosomal RNA", at positions 1210 to 2650 of the family's 2925-position model. The record is from RNAcentral. Lineage: Bacteria; Pseudomonadati; Pseudomonadota; Gammaproteobacteria; Enterobacterales; Enterobacteriaceae.